Molecule: ribosomal RNA, 301 nt
Filed under: uncultured bacterium
Lineage: Bacteria
Description: partial 16S ribosomal RNA
Rfam family: Bacterial small subunit ribosomal RNA
Source: RNAcentral
AGUCGCCGCGGUAAUACGAGGGGUGCAAGCGUUAUUCGGAUUGAUUGGGUGUAAAGGGUGUGCAGACGGCUUAUUAAGUCACUUGUUAAAUUCUUCGGCCUAACUGAAGGUCUGCAAGUGAUACUGAUGAGCUAGAGGGUGGAAGAGAGAAGUGGAAUUCCCGGAGUAGCGGUAAAAUGCGUAGAUCUCGAGAGGAACACCAAUGGCGAAGGCAGCUUCUUGGUCCAUUCCUGACGUUCAUACACGAAAGCGUGGGGAGCAAACAGGAUUAGAUACCCGCGUAGUCCCUGUCUCUUAUACA